This 639-nucleotide long non-coding RNA is filed under the name Manihot esculenta (cassava). RNAcentral's name for it is "long non-coding RNA (MESC_LNC008415)". Lineage: Eukaryota; Viridiplantae; Streptophyta; Magnoliopsida; Malpighiales; Euphorbiaceae. The record is from RNAcentral.
UGGAGAUGAAUCUAGCAACAAGAUUGCUGAUUUCUUUGAGAAAUGCAAGACAGAUCCUCAAUAUUGGAACAAGAUUUCAACAACAGGCCUGCAACGUAUAUACGAAUGGUAAUUGCAUGACAUGAACUAAAUCAUCACAAAUCUCACCAUAUAAAAUUUCCCAUUAUCACUGGACAAUGCUUCAUUAUCUUGCAGCUAUACAUGGAAGAUUUAUGCAAAUAAGGUGUUGAACAUGGGAUCCAUUUAUGGGUUUUGGAGUAAGCUAAACAAGGAACAGAAGCUUGCCAAGCAAAGAUACAUUGGAACAUUUUACAAUCUUCAGUUCAGGAAUUUGGUAAGUUUCUUACUUAUUGUCAGGAUUUUGUUCAAAUCAAAUGCAACUUGCCCUACUACAUUUUAGGGUUUAUGCAAUAGAAAAAUAAGUAAAAGUCUAUCCUACGCUGCAAUGUAUCUACAGUGUCAGUUUAAGCACAUAAAGACAACAAUUUUGGGCCAUUGUCUUACACCCAUUCUUGUAGUAGUGUCGAUUUGACUAAGCUACUGUAUUUUGCAGGUGAAGGACGUUCCUAUUGCAAGUGUUGAACCCCGAACACAGCCUUCCUCAUCGUCGUCAGCUGCAACUAGAGAACCUCAAGAACG